Petromyzon marinus (sea lamprey) is the source of this 333-nucleotide non-coding RNA. The record is from RefSeq and is a predicted model, not a curated record. Lineage: Eukaryota; Metazoa; Chordata; Hyperoartia; Petromyzontiformes; Petromyzontidae.
AGGUCACCAUGGAAGUCCAGUUUCCCAUUGAAAUCCAGUUUACCAUGGACGUCCAAUUUACCAUGGAAGUCCAGUUUACCAUGGAAAUCCAGUUUACCAUGCGAGUCCAGUUUACGAUGUAAAUACAGUUUACCAUAGAGGUCCCGUUUACCAUGGAAGUCCAUUUUACCCUGGAAGUCCAGUUUACCAUGAAAAUCCAGUUUACCAUGGAAGUCCAGUUUACCAUGGAAAUCCAGUUUACCAUGCGAGUCCAGUUUACGAUGUAAAUACAGUUCACCAUAGAGGUCCAGUUUACCAUGGAAGUCCAUUUUACCCUGGAAGUCCAGUUUACCA